AGCAGCAGCCACGGGAAUACGUAGGGUGCAAGCGUUAAUCGGAAUUACUGGGCGUAAAGCGUGCGCAGGCGGUUAUAUAAGUCAGAUGUGAAAUCCCCGGGCUCAACCUGGGAACUGCAUUUGAGACUGUAUGGCUAGAGUGUGUCAGAGGGGGGUAGAAUUCCACGUGUAGCAGUGAAAUGCGUAGAUAUGUGGAGGAAUACCGAUGGCGAAGGCAGCCCCCUGGGAUAACACUGACGCUCAUGCACGAAAGCGUGGGGAGCAAACAGGAUUAGAUACCCCCGUAGUCCCUGUCUCUUAUAC
This 303-nucleotide ribosomal RNA is filed under the name uncultured bacterium. Its description in RNAcentral is "partial 16S ribosomal RNA". It matches the Rfam family "Bacterial small subunit ribosomal RNA", at positions 507 to 807 of the family's 1533-position model. The record is from RNAcentral.